RNAcentral lists this microRNA (24 nucleotides) under Zea mays. Its description in RNAcentral is "microRNA miR-3167". The record is from RNAcentral. Lineage: Eukaryota; Viridiplantae; Streptophyta; Magnoliopsida; Poales; Poaceae.
AACGGUGUGAAAUAGGACAUAUAA